This is a non-coding RNA of Podarcis lilfordi (Lilford's wall lizard), 4248 nucleotides long. Lineage: Eukaryota; Metazoa; Chordata; Lepidosauria; Squamata; Lacertidae. The record is from the annotation of a GenBank genome assembly.
AAACAACUAAACAACAACAACAACAGUGAGUGGAAUACUUAUUUUUGAGCAGGUUGUCUGAAGCAUCAGAAUUUUAUUUUAUUAUUUUAAUUUUUUGCAAAUGAGCAAUAGCAGUUCCCAACAAAGCAGGAUGAGUGCAAUUUACUACUGUCUGCCAAAGAGAUGGCAAAUCUCUCUGGGAUGGCAGGGAGCUUCCAACCUUUACAAAACAGGAACAACAUCUGAAAUAGGGCUUGUUGAAAACCCUCUGAUAAAAGAGCCCUAAAUAAGUCAGGAAGUGUCCAAAAGUUUCUUAAAAUGACCCCACUGUUAGGGACAGAUUAUCUGCAAUUUCUGGUAGACAGGUAAUAAUUUUUGACAAGUCCACAGAAAAUAGACUUGGGCCUAAGGCACUCUUUUGCACCCACAGGGAUGGCUUGAGGGAGUGAUUAGCAUGGAUAUAUGGCACUAAAAAAAUGUCACCAUGAGCCAUCCGUGUAUCUUCUUCAAGAUAAUUCUGCAACUUGCCAACUGGAACUAAUGAAAAUCCAAUAUUCACUCAUAGAAUUCUCCUUGAAUAAAUUGCAUAGGGAUCACCUUCUAAGAACUGUUCUUCCACUGUCUCAGAGGGGAAUAUUCCUAGCAAGAGAGUAAUCCUAAAUUCCAAAGGAGGGCUGCUGAGGGAUUCUUGGCUGCUGUGUACCUACCACUCCUCCAGCAGAGGUCCACCAUCAGAUAACUCCUCACUGAGGCAGUGUAAAGCUCCACCACCAUUACUUUUCUGCUAGUGGCAUUUAACAGGUGAUAGAAAUGAACAUAUGUUGAGAGAGUGUCAGAGGAUGCCAUGGAUCUGUAGGCUCUUAAGUCCCCUUGGUCUCUGAAUACUUCAGCCAGCAUGGGUAAUUUUCUCUCAUUGGUGGUGAUCAUAGAAUUGUAGAACUGGAAGAAACCAUGAGGGUCAUCUAGCCCAACAAUGCAAUGCAGGAAUUUCAACUAAAGAACCCAUGACAGAUGGCCACCCAACUGCUCCUUAAAAACAUCCAGUGAAGGAGAGUCCACCACCUUCCAAGGCAGUCCAUUUCAUUUGGAAGGUGGUGGACUCUCCUUCAUUGGAGAGGAGGAGAAUGCCCUCCUCCCCCUUCUCCUGCCUUAACAACCACAUGCUAACAGGGUUUUGGAUUGGGUGUUAAAUAUGCCAUGAAAUUCCCUGCUUCUCUCCAGUUGAAAUUGCAGUUUCUGUGCCGUUAUUAUAGUCUUGGAGAUCAUUGGCUGUGAUUCUCUACUCAAUAUUAAGAUUGCACUUUCAUAAUUUGGUUAUUUAUUGGCAAAUCUUCUAAUUAUUGUAUUUAAUAAAUAUGACCUUCCCACUAUACUGGUUUCUCAAGUCUUCUUUCAAGGUAUGUUGACAAUUGUGUGUUAAGCCUCCUGUUUGCAAAUGCAUUUCCUCCCAUUGAAUUUGGAUCUAGGAUUUUAGCCUGAUGUUUUUGUUGGCUUGUUGGAACAAGCUUGUUGAUGCAUAAGAUAUACCGUACUUGAAAUAUGAGAAGUUCUGAAAGACGACUUAUUUCCUGUGUGAACCAAUGUUCCAGAAUAGAUUUGAGCUAGUUUAAUUCACAGCUGAAAUAGUGGGCAGCCUGGGUGAUUGAUGAGUAUUAAUUAGUCUUCUGUGGUUUUACAAAUCUCACAUCCCUAUGGCUUGACACUAGCUGACACACAGAAAACACUUUAUAUAUUUAUAUUUGCAUGUUCCUCUUCUUAUUAAGAAAUUAACAGCACCUCACAUUUAAUCUAGUAUAUUGUUUAUAAUAGGUCAAUUUGCUAUCAGUUUAUUAGUACAGUCCUGAGAUUAUUGGGAAGAAAAUGUAAUUUCUUUCCACUUUCCAACUAUACUUUAAUAAUCCUAUUUCCUCUUUACAGUGGUACCUCGGUUUAUGAACUUAAUCCAUUCCAAAACCAUUCUUCUUAAACCAAAACCAUUCUUAAACUGAGGCGUGCUUUCCCUAAUGAGGCCUCCCGCCGCUGGUGCCCUUCCACCAUUCAGCUUCCAUUCCUAGACCGAGGUAAAGUUUGCAAACUGGGACACUACUUCCGGUUUUGCAGAGUUCGUAAACUGAAUAGAUCAUAAACAGGGCUGUUCUUAAACUGAGGUACCAUUGUUUUGUUAGCGCUGUGCACUAUGAUGCAGUACUAGGACACCAAUAUACCAUAUUACUUUCUGUUUACAAAACCAUCUAAAUUUUAAAGAUGUGUGAGCUUUACUCAUAUCAGUCUGCUGCUGCUUGACACUCUUAUUAUUGAUCAUACCAGAUUGAAUGCAAAGCAGAAGUGGCUCAUCCAGUGGGCUAAAGCUGCAGUGUUAGCUUCCUGGCAAUGGGGAUGCUGCUGUUUACAGGGAGAAGCAAGGUACUGGAGAAGUUGAUGUGGUGUGGGAACAGCAGUGGAAACAAACUGGUUUGCUUGCACUGCAUCAACCUACCACUUGCACCCAGGGCCGUCUUUAGCAGAUGGGGCACCAAGGUGCAAAUAUCCACCCAACGCCCCCAAAUUACCACAGAUAGUAUUGGGGUGGCUGUAGCUGCACACUGCCAGCCAUUGGGGGGGCACAACUCUCCCCCAUGCCGCUGCGGGAAAGCGAUCCUCACAGAGGCUUGGGAGGGAAGCUGCACACCCACCAGCCAUAUGGUUGGCGGGGCACAGCUUCCAUCCUAAGUCUCUGUGGGGAUCGCUCUCCUCCCGAGGAGGCUUGGGAGGGAAGCUGCACGCCUGCCAGCCUUGGUGGGGCGCAGCUGGCAUGCGUGCAGGGAAAGGGGAGGCUGCUGGCAAAGCUGCACAGCUCCCCCACUUGCUGGGGCGCCCCUGAGAGGCCGGUGCCCUGGCGCAACGCACUACUAAGCCCUAUGGGAAGGACGGCUCUGCACCUUAGCCUAAGACCUACAGGUCUAACUUUUGUAACCAACACAGCCUUUUGAAAGAAACAAAUUGGAAAGUCUUCCAACCUCGUCUAGCACAACGUGGAAGGCUGGUAGCGUUCAUGGUAAAAACGGUUCUUGUGCGGCAACAGUCAUGAAGGGUUGGGGAGAGAAGAUGGGUCUGUUGUCAUAUUGUGCGCUGUAGUUACAUAGGACAGUAACAUACCUUGUGUUUAUCUAUUAGGAGAACGAGGUGCUUUCUUAAGAGUCACCUCUGUGCUUGCAAAACUUUUGUUUGGACAAUCUACAAAUAAAACUGCAGUUAAUUUAUGCCUUGUGUAUAAUGAAGCAUACACUUGAGUGUUUAGAUAAUAUUCCUAACAAUUUGCUUUGUAUUUUUAGUCCCAUCCCUUGUCCUUGUGCUCUUUACCAAAACAAUUUAGCUGAUAGAAUCAAUAAAAAGAUGUACACAUUUGCUGAUAACACAAUACUAAGCAGUUGAUCAAAUAACCUAGGAUGACACCAAAAGGAUUAUGCAGGAUUUAGACAGCCAUUUAAAAAUGCCAAGUGUCUGCUGGCAUUCAGCUUAGAGGCAUGCAAAAUUAGUUGAGGCAUUUUGAAUAUCAGCUGAAGGACAUAAAGGUCCAGGACGGUGCCUAAAGAUAAUGCUAACACUUCAUAAUUGUUAAUUGUUACACAGAAAAAGCAAAGGACUUAGAAUAUACUCUCUCCCCACUAAUCAUUAGGUAGAAGAAAAAUAAUGGCAUUUACGAUGUGUAGCUUUUGAGUAGAUGAGACACUCUGUUCUCUAAUAAUGGGUGCCAUAUUAAGGAAGAUAUAGUGCUUGAACUAGAAGGUGUAAUGACAAUGGGAGGAAAUGUAUUAAGGAACUGGUGAGCACAAACUUAUUCGUUGGUUCCUAACUUUAGCUGUGAGCUUGUGAUAAAUGGUAAAUCCAAUAAGACAUAAUCAGAGGCAGUGCUUAACUGCAUGUAUAGUAAAUUGCAGUUAACUUGUGUUAUUAACUCCAUGUCAUCAGAUAUAACCCCUCACUGGGAGUUUUACAGCUGUGACCUGUGAACACCACAUAAUGGAAUUUUGCAUUCAUAUUAUUAUUUUUUUUACUUUUCACAGGUACAAUGAGUUGUGCCUUGGCACUGCAGUCUGGGGUGUAUCUGAGAAGCAAAAUAUAAUGACCUUUGCAUAGCAAACCUACUCAGACUACAGGAAAUGGUCUGAAGGACCAUCAGGCCACCACCUUGCUGAAGCUAAGCAGGACUGGGGUUGGUCAGUGCUGGAUGGGAAACCUCCAGGAACCCACAAGUAUGCCACCUUCAGUUCCACAAUGGAAGAAAGGGGG